This is a long non-coding RNA of Fukomys damarensis (Damara mole-rat), 4499 nucleotides long. RefSeq lists it as uncharacterized. The record is from RefSeq and is a predicted model, not a curated record. The transcript has 6 exons. Lineage: Eukaryota; Metazoa; Chordata; Mammalia; Rodentia; Bathyergidae.
UUCAAUAGUGGGGUUACAUUUUUCUCAGUUCAUUAAGGUUAAGAGCCUGAGAAAGAGCAUCAUUUAACUCUUUAAAAAUUGACAUAACUUACAAUGGUCUAUGGUACUGUAGCUACAUUCCCUAAAUUUCAGAGUCUCAUGAGAAGAAAUAAAUUUUUCCUCCAUGGCGUAAGAAAAUUCUGGCACAUAUGUCCCUGAUUGCAUGGGUCUCCAGAGGGGCUUUGCUCAGAGAUUAUCCUAAGCUAGGGAUAGGAGUCUCCUGCACUCACCACGUGAUUCAGAAAUGUGCUUGUCACCCUCCGCAUGGCAACAGAAGGAAGAGAGCAGAAAGACAGGAUGCACACCACUCCCUCAGUGUUACUCCACAAGGCACCUCCUGCAGAGCGAACCAGACGCAAGGCAAAGGGCUGUGAAGACAAAGUAUGUAGCAACCAGCCUGUCUCUACCACACAGAUUGUCUCAUGUUUUAGUGCUUUUGCCCAGCAAAUAUUUGCGUUAUUUGCUGUAUCUCCACUUAGCUUUUAAAUAAAGAAGAAAUUGAAUGAUUUUAGCUAGGAGGCCUGGCCAGGAAGAGACUAUGCUGCCUCGGAAAGAGUUUUCUAAUAUGACAAAAACGCAUGGUGGAUUGUGUAGGAUACUACACUUGAUCUUAGCCAAAAGGCCGAGAAGCGAUGGAUUGUGUAGGAUAAACAAACAAGCAAAGUCAAACUGAGAUGUUCAGCCAGACAAUUUAACCUAGACAUAACCAUCUGCAACAACCCUAGAUUUUUUAUUUUUAGGCAGGAAUGUAAAGAUUACACACACAUCGUGCCAGUGAUGUGACAGUGAAACAAGAUUCUUUGCCAAAUUCUGCAAAGUCACCAUAGCAUGGUAGUAGACAGGCAGAAGUCAAAGCUUCUCUUUUAAUUCCUUCACAGUGUCUUGGUUGGACAGGUAGAGUCCCUGUUUCCAGAUCAUUCUUUGAACUACAGAUGCAAAACUGGGAAAGUAGCCAUGGUUAUAGGAAAAUUAAAAGAAAACAUCUAAAGAUCAGACACCAUGCCUCAACAAGAGCCUCCAAUUUAUGUGGAAUAAUAAAUAAUAAAACAGGACAGUCUAGGCAAGGCAAGAAAAAUGGAUUUGUUCCCUGCAGGUGUUUGGAGCAGGACUGGCUGUUGGAACAAAGUGCAGUUUCUCUCCCUUUCGAAUUCAAGAGCCUCCGCUUUUGAGGAAGCUGGUGAACACGCAGUCUGCAGGGAAAUAACCUGACAAGCUGUUGUUCACCCUUCCCCACAAUAUACCCACUCUCUCCGAAGUGCUGGAUGGGAUGGUUCUCUAUCACACUGGGCUGCAGUGUGUCACCAGUCCCCUUGGUGAGACAGCUCCUCCAAGCGUGGCUCCAGCGUUAACGCUUCGCACAAAGCCUGUGGGCACAGAGAGGAGGGCUGAGGUGCACACUCUGACCACUCUUCUUGCCACACUCUGAGACUCCCCUCCGGUUGGUCACUCCAGGGAGUUCUUCACCUGGUAAGUGCAAAGUUGCCCGGCUGUUUUCUUAGAGAACGUGACCUCAGAUUUGCACAAAGGCCCCUUAUAGGAGACUCUGCGCCAUCCCAUGUAGGACAUUUUCUGGCUGUUUUUAGAUCCGAAAUGUUCUCUGCUUUGAGGCAAUAGACAGGCGGGCACUCUGUCUUUAAUUCAUGUCAUCACAGUCAGGUUGGAAGGGACUUUUCCUCUUCUCUCAUUUGCCAAGGACAAAAUGCAGACUUUUCUUCUGAGCGCUAUAGGAUGCAUCACAGACCUCCACUGAGAAACCAGAGCCUUUGUUCUCCUGUCUCCAUGUGCUACGAUGAAAGUAACGGAAGAGAACUGGUGGAACGAAGUUUGUCACUAGACUAUAGUCUCUGGAUCACCACUCUAUGUACUUCAGUUUAUGGAGACCCUUGCAGCUGCUGUUGUCUGUGAGAUGGAUAAUAUUACUCCCAGAGAAAGCAGUGUCUUGGAACAUCCCCAUAGGUCUAGCAUAGUUCCACAUACUGGGAAUAUAGCUGUAGCAGGAGGUGGGGACACCGCAGCACGGCUGGGGCAACUUGGGCUGGACCUGACAAUUAAGGAGACUUAGUAACCGCGGGCCGACACCAUGAGCACCCGACACAGGAUCGAGCCAAGCCCUGCACCCAGUACCAAUCUUCUGCUCCAGAAGCGUCCCAACCUGGCUCCUGACAUCGAUCUUACAGCACAAGAUGGAGUGGGAGCACCUGGAUAGACUGCCAAGGAAGACUUCAUCCACUGGGAAUCAUUUUCUCAAGGAGGAAUUCAUCACUCAUAUUCUGAUGAGUCCGCUGCCGACGGCAAAAUGUUGACACCCCCUGCGAACGGGUUCUCUCUGAGGGCAUGGCCACCAUGGAACGCGCUAUUUUACCCCAACAGCGAAAAUCAGCACCACCAGCUCAGCCCCUGGUUCAGACAGCUGUGUUUUCUUCUGGAGUUUGGGGAAGCUGACAUUCACAGUUCAUGACUGUGGCUGAAACCAAGAAGAAUAAGUCUCCCCUCACCCAACAUCUCUCAACCCUGGAAAAAGGCAGCAAUGUCCUCACAUCUGGGCCAAUGUUCCAGAGAGUUUCUGUACAAAUUUGUACCAGCGCUAGCACUGGAUACGAAGAAUCCAGCUCUGCCUUGGUCCCUGAAAAGAGCUUUCUAGGGAGAGGGGAGAGCACGCUGAAAAGUCUUGAAGUGAGAAUGACCUUGGGAUAUCAGAAGAGCAGAACAGAGGCGGUGUAGCCGGUGCAUGGAGACAUUUGGGAGAUGCAGGAGGAGAGGAAAUCAGAGGAGGCAAGAACCGGGUCAGAACCCUGAGACACUGGGCCCAGCUUGGGCUACAUUCUGUAUUCAGGAGGCAACGUGUGUGAGUUUUAACCGUGGACAAGUCUUGACUUGAAUGCUUUUAAUGUUUUCAAAGAACAUUUUGGCUAAGAAUGUUGAAAAGUUUUAAAUUUGCAGCUGGAAAGUACCAAUAAAUCUUUAAUCCCUCGUUUUAUGUUUUCAGAUGGAAAAACUAGAGUUCACAAAAACAAGUAUUUAUUCGAAAGGCUUACAUUUUGUUAAAAGUAAAAGCAGACCUGUCAUGUAAAGGUACAAGAUCCCAGUAAUGAAUAUAACUGUACUGUAUACCUAGAAUAUAGCAAUAAACUCAAUUUAAAAAAAAAGUAAAAGCAGGAUCUAAAAUCAAAACUUUGGUCUCGGCCUACGCUCUUUACACUCAAGUGCCGCAGACUGAUUAGAAUCACACAGGCUGUCCUGAUUGUUUAAUCACAGGAGAACUUAUUAGACAAAGUAGCUCCUCAGAGCUCCCGGGCCUGAGGAUGGCCCAUCUACUGGCCACUGUAUCUGCCUUGACCUUUUUCUCCUGUUCUGUCUCUCUCCUAACUGAUUUGUCUUUCUGAGAGCAGCAGAGAACAGCAUGCCUGUAUCCUGGUGCCAUUCUGAUGAUCCAAGUUUGCUCAUUCUGAAGAAGGCAGUGGGUUUCCCGAAGCGCUGGGGAAAGUGUUCUCCCCAGGCUCUACCCAGCACACCGUCCUGGGGCCAUCAAUGUGCACUACUUCAGCCUCAGACACAUAGAGCUGCUAUUAAGUCUCCCUCCCCGUCACCCCUUGGAAUAAGAGACUGGACAGAAGUAUGCACCCCUCCUCUCUUUCCAAUCCUGCCUGCAUCAGUCCUCAAAUCUUUCUCUGCCCAAAUAAAAAUUUAACAAGACAAAACCUACGCAUUUUAAUUUCUACAAUUAGUUGCCUUAAGGUAUCCUUUCCUGUUUCUUAGCUUUCCAAAGAGCCCAAUUCUGGAUCCUAUUCCAUAUCCAAAAAGACUCCACACUAAAUGAGAACCAAGGAAAACAUGGCUGCCUGUGGAUGGGCUUCUGACAGUCCCCAGAGUCCUUCUGCUGUGGAGUUAGCAUGUAAAGUCUUGCUUUUCAGGUAGCUGUUACUGCGGCUGUAUUUUUCUGUGACGUAAGCAGUGCCGUGCCUGCCCAGAGAAUGGUGCAAAGAAGGAUUUCUUGCUGGAAAGACUUCUUAAUAAGUCAUUGCCUGAGGAUGAGGUGGUCCUUCUUAAUGUACAGAGGAAGAGCUCAGUCACUAGAAGGUAUUUACGGCCUGGGAAAGUGAGCACUUGGCCCUCAGCCAGGCUGACCCACUGACAGGGAGGGUCUGGAGGAGCCGCACAUGGUGGUUUCUGUCUGCCACUGAUUUUUCAGGGAACAGUCACAAGUUGCACCAUCGCACCAGGGAACUGAAAGCUUGAUGGAGCAGGGUUUGGGAGCACAGGUGUUUGGGGUAAUAGAAGGAGCAAGAGAGGGAAUGCCUGAAGGAAAGGAGCUCUGAGACAUUCCCGAGUGUGCGCAGGGCCCUUGUGCCUGUGGACAAUGCUUCUCUGCAGAAUUUGGAAAUGAGAUUGAUGGUCAAACCAGGACUAUAAGACACACAAAGAGAGGGGCCAGAGACUUAUCUCAGUGGUUCUGCCUCCUG